CGUUCUAUGGCCGAAUUGGUAAAGACAUCGGUGAUCACAGGCGAGGUUGCGGGUUCAAGUCCCGCUAGAACGA
This 73-nucleotide transfer RNA is filed under the name Operophtera brumata (winter moth). It matches the Rfam family "tRNA". Rfam says of the family: Transfer RNA (tRNA) molecules are approximately 80 nucleotides in length. Their secondary structure includes four short double-helical elements and three loops (D, anti-codon, and T loops). The record is from Rfam by way of RNAcentral. Lineage: Eukaryota; Metazoa; Arthropoda; Insecta; Lepidoptera; Geometridae.